GUCAGGAUGGCCGAGUGGUCUAAGGCGCCAGACUCAAGCUCUGGAUGGAGGCAUGGGUUCAAAUCCCACUUCUGACA
This is a non-coding RNA of Rana temporaria (common frog), 77 nucleotides long. The record is from the annotation of a RefSeq genome assembly. Lineage: Eukaryota; Metazoa; Chordata; Amphibia; Anura; Ranidae.